UUCGCCCUUUUCCGGUUGAUCCUGCCGGACCUGACUGCUAUCGGAUUGAUACUAAGCCAUGCGAGUCAUUGUAGCAAUACAAGGCAGACGGCUCAGUAACGCGUAGUCAACCUAACCUAUGGACGGGAAUAACCUCGGGAAACUGAGAAUAAUGCCCGAUAGAACACUAUACCUGGAAUGGUUUGUGUUCCAAAUGAUUUAUCGCCGUAGGAUGGGACUGCGGCCUAUCAGUUUGUUGGUGAGGUAAUGGCCCACCAAGACUAUUACAGGUACGGGCUCUGAGAGGAGUAGCCCGGAGAUGGGUACUGAGACACGGACCCAGGCCCUAUGGGGCGCAGCAGGCGAGAAAACUUUGCAAUGUGCGAAAGCACGACAAGGUUAAUCCGAGUGAUUUGUGCUAAACGAAUCUUUUGUUAGUCCUAGAACCACUAACGAAUAAGGGGUGGGCAAGUUCUGGUGUCAGCCGCCGCGGUAAAACCAGCACCUCAAGUGGUCAGGAUGAUUAUUGGGCCUAAAGCAUCCGUAGCCGGCUCUGUAAGUUUUCGGUUAAAUCUGUACGCUUAACGUACAGGCUGCCGGGAAUACUGCAGAGCUAGGGAGUGGGAGAGGUAGACGGUACUCGGUAGGAAGGGGUAAAAUCCUUUGAUCUAUUGAUGACCACCUGUGGCGAAAGCGGUCUACCAGAACACGUCCG
Molecule: ribosomal RNA, 694 nt
Filed under: uncultured archaeon
Lineage: Archaea
Description: bacterial SSU rRNA
Rfam family: Archaeal small subunit ribosomal RNA
Source: RNAcentral